Molecule: unclassified non-coding RNA, 377 nt
Filed under: soil metagenome
Description: partial contains 5.8S ribosomal RNA, internal transcribed spacer 2, and large subunit ribosomal RNA
Rfam family: 5.8S ribosomal RNA (bases 1-120)
Source: RNAcentral
GAUGAAGAACGUAGUGAAAUGCGAUAAGUAAUGUGAAUUGCAGAAUUCAGUGAAUCAUCGAAUCUUUGAACGCAUCUUGCGCUCCUUGGUAUUCUGAGGAGCAUGCCUGUUUGAGUGUCAUUAAAUUCUCAACCGCACUGACUUUGAAUUGGUGUGGCUUGGAUUUGGGGGGAAAAUUGUUGUGGGCUUUUUUGCAUAGUCUGCUCCCCUGAAAUUGAUUAGCGGUACCUUUGUGGAACUGUCUACAGGUGUGAUAAUUAUCUACAUCCUAGACAUCUGCUGGAAUGCUGCUUUCUAAACCUUACUUGUAUUGACAAUCUUGACCUCAAAUCAGGUAGGACUACCCGCUGAACUUAAGCAUAUCAAUAAGCGGAGGA